UACGUAGGGCGCAAGCGUUGUCCGGAAUUAUUGGGCGUAAAGAGCUCGUAGGCGGUUUGUCGCGUCUGCUGUGAAAUCCCGAGGCUCAACCUCGGGCCUGCAGUGGGUACGGGCAGACUGGAGUGCGGUAGGGGAGAAUGGAACUCCUGGUGUAGCGGUGGAAUGCGCAGAUAUCGGAAGGAACACCAGUGGCGAAAGCGGCUUCCUGGUCCGACACCGACGUUCAGGCACGAAAGCGUGGGGAGCAAACAGG
RNAcentral lists this ribosomal RNA (253 nucleotides) under uncultured bacterium. Its description in RNAcentral is "partial 16S ribosomal RNA". It matches the Rfam family "Bacterial small subunit ribosomal RNA", at positions 524 to 776 of the family's 1533-position model. The record is from RNAcentral.